RNAcentral lists this ribosomal RNA (491 nucleotides) under uncultured bacterium. Its description in RNAcentral is "bacterial SSU rRNA". It matches the Rfam family "Bacterial small subunit ribosomal RNA", at positions 26 to 518 of the family's 1533-position model. The record is from RNAcentral.
AGGAUGAACGCUGGCGGCGUGCCUAACACAUGCAAGUCGAGCGAGAAAUCGCUCAAUGAUCUUCGGGUGAUUGAGCGAUGGAAAGCGGCGGACGGGUGAGUAACGCGUAGGUAACCUGCCCCAUACAGAGGGAUAGCCACUGGAAACGGUGAUUAAUACCUCAUAACACCGGAAUAUCGCAUGGUAUACCGGUCAAAGUUUUUUCGGUAUGGGAUGGACCUGCGUCUGAUUAGCUGGUUGGUGGGGUAACGGCUCACCAAGGCGACGAUCAGUAGCCGACCUGAGAGGGUGAUCGGCCACAUUGGAACUGAGACACGGUCCAAACUCCUACGGGAGGCAGCAGUGGGGAAUAUUGCACAAUGGGCGCAAGCCUGAUGCAGCAACGCCGCGUGAACGAAGAAGGCUCUUGGGUCGUAAAGUUCUGUUCUGAGGGAAGAAGAUCUGACGGUACCUCAGGAGAAAGCCCCGGCUAACUACGUGCCAGCCGCGGC